AUAUAUUUUGUAAAAAAAAAAAAAAAUCUGUUCUUAUCAGUUUAAUAUCUCGAUACGUCCCCCAUCGGGGGACUACAUAUUAAAUGGAUUUUUCGAACAGGGAGUCGGAAAUGGGGCUUGCUCCGUCCGCUCCACGCAUCGACCCGGUAUUGCAGUACCUCCGGGAACGGUGCAACACUU
Molecule: small nuclear RNA, 180 nt
Filed under: Salmo salar (Atlantic salmon)
Lineage: Eukaryota; Metazoa; Chordata; Actinopteri; Salmoniformes; Salmonidae
Description: U2 spliceosomal RNA (ENSSSAG00000121937.1)
Rfam family: U2 spliceosomal RNA
About the family: U2 is a small nuclear RNA (snRNA) component of the spliceosome (involved in pre-mRNA splicing). Complementary binding between U2 snRNA (in an area lying towards the 5' end but 3' to hairpin I) and the branchpoint sequence (BPS) of the intron results the bulging out of an unpaired adenosine, on the BPS, which initiates a nucleophilic attack at the intronic 5' splice site, thus starting the first of two transesterification reactions that mediate splicing.
Source: RNAcentral